GUAAGGGAUAUUGCGCGAAUGGGCGAAAGCCUGACGCAGCAACGCCGCGUGCGGGAUGACGGCCUUCGGGUCGUAAACCGCUUUUCGAGGCGAAGAGGAAGGACGGUAGCCUCGGAAGAAGUCUCGGCUAACUACGUGCCAGCAGCCGCGGUAAAACGUAGGAGGCGAGCGUUAUCCGGAUUUACUGGGUGUAAAGCGCGAGCAGGCGGUUGGGCAAGUCAUGUGUGAAAGCGCCCAGGCUCAACCGGGCGAGGACAUGUGAAACUGGUCAACUGGAGGCAGGCAGAGGCAGACGGAAUUCCGGGUGUAGUGGUGAAAUGCGUAGAGAUCCGGAGGAACACCAGUGGCGAAGGCGGUCUGCUGGGCCUGGCCUGACGCUCAGAGGCGAAAGCAUGGGGAGCGAACGGGAUUAGAAACCCUAGUAGUCC
RNAcentral lists this ribosomal RNA (428 nucleotides) under uncultured bacterium. RNAcentral's name for it is "bacterial SSU rRNA". It matches the Rfam family "Bacterial small subunit ribosomal RNA", at positions 354 to 796 of the family's 1533-position model. The record is from RNAcentral.